GCAUCCUUUGCUGAGGAUACGGUUAACGGAGCGAAAGCGACGUUCAACCGCAAAAGAAGCAGAGGGGGCUUAGUGGUGGGGUGACUGCGUACCUUUUGUAUAAUGGGUCAGCGACUUAUAUUCUGUAGCAAGGUUAACCGAAUAGGGGAGCCGGAGGGAAACCGAGUCUUAACCGGGCGUUAAGUUGCAGGGUAUAGACCCGAAACCCGGUGAUCUAGCCAUGGGCAGGUUGAAGGUUGGGUAACACUAACUGGAGGACCGAACCGACUAAUGUUGAAAAAUUAGCGGAUGACCUGUGGCUGGGGGUGAAAGGCCAAUCAAACCGGGAGAUAGCUGGUUCUCCCCGAAAGCUAUUUAGGUAGCGCCUCGUGAAUUCAUCUCCGGGGGUAGAGCACUGUUUCGGCUAGGGGGCCAUCCCGGCUUACCAACCCGAUGCAAACUGCGAAUACCGGAGAAUGUUAUCACGGGAGACACACGGCGGGUGCUAACGUCCGUCGUGAAGAGGGAAACAACCCAGACCGCCAGCUAAGGUCCCAAAGUCAUGGUUAAGUGGGAAACGAUGUGGGAAGGCCCAGACAGCCAGGAUGUUGGCUUAGAAGCAGCCAUCAUUUAAAGAAAGCGUAAUAGCUCACUGGUCGAGUCGGCCUGCGCGGAAGAUGUAACGGGGCUAAACCAUGCACCGAAGCUGCGGCAGCGACGCUUAUGCGUUGUUGGGUAGGGGAGCGUUCUGUAAGCCUGUGAAGGUGGCCUGUGAGGGUUGCUGGAGGUAUCAGAAGUGCGAAUGCUGACAUAAGUAACGAUAAAGCGGGUGAAAAGCCCGCUCGCCGGAAGACCAAGGGUUCCUGUCCAACGUUAAUCGGGGCAGGGUGAGUCGACCCCUAAGGCGAGGCCGAAAGGCGUAGUCGAUGGGAAACGGGUUAAUAUUCCCGUACUUGGUGUUACUGCGAAGGGGGGACGGAGAAGGCUAUGUUGGCCGGGCGACGGUUGUCCCGGUUUAAGCGUGUAGGUGUGUGUUCCAGGUAAAUCCGGUUCACUUUAACACUGAGGCGUGAUGACGAGGCACUACGGUGCUGAAGUAACAAAUGCCCUGCUUCCAGGAAAAGCCUCUAAGCAUCAGGUAACAUCAAAUCGUACCCCAAACCGACACAGGUGGUCAGGUAGAGAAUACCAAGGCGCUUGAGAGAACUCGGGUGAAGGAACUAGGCAAAAUGGUGCCGUAACUUCGGGAGAAGGCACGCUGACAC
This 1244-nucleotide ribosomal RNA is filed under the name Salmonella enterica subsp. enterica serovar Dublin. RNAcentral describes it as "partial 23S ribosomal RNA". It matches the Rfam family "Bacterial large subunit ribosomal RNA", at positions 568 to 1757 of the family's 2925-position model. Lineage: Bacteria; Pseudomonadati; Pseudomonadota; Gammaproteobacteria; Enterobacterales; Enterobacteriaceae. The record is from RNAcentral.